RNAcentral lists this ribosomal RNA (370 nucleotides) under Mesoclemmys dahli. RNAcentral describes it as "partial 12S ribosomal RNA". It matches the Rfam family "Bacterial small subunit ribosomal RNA", at positions 868 to 1396 of the family's 1533-position model. The record is from RNAcentral. Lineage: Eukaryota; Metazoa; Chordata; Testudines; Chelidae.
UCCGCCAGAGUACUACUAAUUAUACAUUAAAAACUCAAAGGACUUGACGGUGUCUCAAACCCAACUAGAGGAGCCUGUUCUAUAAUCGAUAAUCCACGAUUCACCUCACCACCCAAAGCCUCUCAGCCUAUAUACCUCCGUCUUCAGCCUACCCUGUGAAAGUAUAAAAGUAGGCACAAUAGUUAAUAAGCACUAACAAGUCAGGUCAAGGUGUAGCUAAUGGGGUGGAAGAAAUGGGCUACAUUUUCUACCAUAGAAAUAAUCUUACGGAGGGCACUUUGAAACAAGGCCCAAUAAGCAGGAUUUAGUAGUAAUGUAUGGAGCAAAGAGCCUACAUUAAUUAGGACCUGAAACGCGUACACACCGCCCG